Molecule: long non-coding RNA, 203 nt
Filed under: Mytilus galloprovincialis (Mediterranean mussel)
Lineage: Eukaryota; Metazoa; Mollusca; Bivalvia; Mytilida; Mytilidae
Source: RNAcentral
GUUUAUCCAUAUUUACUUCGUAUAUACUUUGUAAUAGAAUAAGUGAUGGAUUUUGUUAUUUGAUUCUGCAUGGCAACAUUGACUGUCAGGUUGUAUAUUUUAUUUGGAGGGGAGAUGUUUUCCCUUUGAGUUGGAAAUAUACUUCGAAUGAUCUUUUAGGUUCUAGUAGACUGCCUUUAUCACCCUUUUCUAGUUUACCGAAC